This 468-nucleotide ribosomal RNA is filed under the name uncultured bacterium. RNAcentral describes it as "partial 16S ribosomal RNA". It matches the Rfam family "Bacterial small subunit ribosomal RNA", at positions 28 to 507 of the family's 1533-position model. The record is from RNAcentral.
GACGAACGCUGGCGGCGUGCUUAACACAUGCAAGUCGAACGGAAAGGCCCUGCUUUUGUGGGGUGCUCGAGUGGCGAACGGGUGAGUAACACGUGAGUAACCUGCCCUUGACUUUGGGAUAACUUCAGGAAACUGGGGCUAAUACCGGAUAGGAGCUCCUGCUGCAUGGUGGGGGUUGGAAAGUUUCGGUGGUUGGGGAUGGACUCGCGGCUUAUCAGCUUGUUGGUGGGGUAGUGGCUUACCAAGGCUUUGACGGGUAGCCCGCCUGAGAGGGUGACCGGCCACAUUGGGACUGAGAGACGGCCCAGACUCCUACGGGAGGCAGCAGUGGGGAAUAUUGCACAAUGGGCGGAAGUCUGAUGCAGCAACGCCGCGUGCGGGAUGACGGCCUUCGGGUUGUAAACCGCUUUCGCCUGUGACGAAGCGUGAGUGACGGUAAUGGGUAAAGAAGCACCGGCUAACUACGUG